This is a long non-coding RNA of Rhincodon typus (whale shark), 456 nucleotides long. RefSeq lists it as uncharacterized. NCBI's taxonomy places the organism in Eukaryota, Metazoa, Chordata, Chondrichthyes, Orectolobiformes, Rhincodontidae. The record is from RefSeq and is a predicted model, not a curated record. The transcript is spliced from 3 exons.
AGUCACUAAAUAUUUGAGCUUCUGAGAGGAAGCUUUAAAAAGAAUCUCCCAGCUGAUUUCUGCGAACUGGCAUUUUAUGAAAAUGUCAAAAAUAUACUGCAUGAACCGUCUGGGAGCAAGUUGCAAGUCAAUUGGGAGUGUAGUACGAGUAUUCAAUUAAAAUGAUGUGUAGCACAGACUUAAUUACUCUAGUCUAUCCUUGCUAUCAAGAGGGUCCGUAAGUACAGGAUGCCGCUUUAAGUGCCAAUGGAUCAUUUACAUUCACCUGAGAAGGCAGGUGUUCUAUUGGAAAGACCGAUUUUCCUUGGAUUAUUGAAAGUAAAGUUGCAUUUACGCUCAACAUAAAUCUGACCAUUGUUUAUGUAUUGUGGACUUGUUUGCUACCGGGUAAUGACAUACUUUCAUGGACGUCAAGUCUUAAGGUGGGAAUUGAACCCACAACUUCUAGCUCAGAGG